RNAcentral lists this small nucleolar RNA (136 nucleotides) under Chinchilla lanigera (long-tailed chinchilla). RNAcentral's name for it is "Small nucleolar RNA SNORA61 (ENSCLAG00000021522.1)". It matches the Rfam family "Small nucleolar RNA SNORA61". From Rfam's summary of the family: ACA61 is a member of the H/ACA class of snoRNA that guide the sites of modification of uridines to pseudouridines. The record is from Rfam by way of RNAcentral. Lineage: Eukaryota; Metazoa; Chordata; Mammalia; Rodentia; Chinchillidae.
ACCCUCCAGUUCCUUUACCCAUCAGAUCUGAUCCCUGGUCUUGGUGGUUGGUUGGAAAGGCAGAAAAGGAAUGCUGAAUCUGGUCUCACAGCCUUAUAGUCUGAUAUAUAGCAUGUGGGCUAAUUUUUAAACAAGA